This 520-nucleotide ribosomal RNA is filed under the name uncultured bacterium. RNAcentral's name for it is "partial 16S ribosomal RNA". It matches the Rfam family "Bacterial small subunit ribosomal RNA", at positions 355 to 866 of the family's 1533-position model. The record is from RNAcentral.
UGGGGAAUAUUGCACAAUGGGCGCAAGCCUGAUGCAGCCAUGCCGCGUGUGUGAAGAAGGCCUUCGGUUGUAAAGCACUUUUGUCCGGAAAGAAAUCCUUGGCUCUAAUACAGUCGGGGGAUGACGGUACCGGAAGAAUAAGCACCGGCUAACUACGUGCCAGCAGCCGCGGUAAUACGUAGGGUGCAAGCGUUAAUCGGAAUUACUGGGCGUAAAGCGUGCGCAGGCGGUUUGCUAAGACCGAUGUGAAAUCCCCGGGCUCAACCUGGGAACUGCAUUGGUGACUGGCAGGCUAGAGUAUGGCAGAGGGGGGUAGAAUUCCACGUGUAGCAGGUGAAAUGCGUAGAGAUGUGGAGGAAUACCGAUGGCGAAGGCAGCCCCCUGGGCCAAUACUGACGCUCAUGCACGAAAGCGUGGGGAGCAAACAGGAUUAGAUACCCCUGGUAGUCCACGCCCUAAACGAUGUCAACUAGUUGUUGGGGAUUCAUUUUCCUUAGUAACGUAGCUAACGCGUGAAGUU